Anopheles merus is the source of this 587-nucleotide long non-coding RNA. RefSeq lists it as uncharacterized. Lineage: Eukaryota; Metazoa; Arthropoda; Insecta; Diptera; Culicidae. The transcript has 2 exons. The record is from RefSeq and is a predicted model, not a curated record.
GUGGCUGUCUUUUGAGACCGUUCGUAGGAGGCAUUAAUCCAGCUGCUGACAUCGAAAUCGUCGCCGGAAAAGGCACUUACAUCCUAGCAGCCGUUGCGUUUACUCACCUAGACUAGGAUAUGCGUAAGCAGUGUAUGGCAAUACGCUACUGUAUGGUGAAAUGUAGCUCGCGGCGUACGCAUACGGAUAUGCAGCAUAACCAACCGGAGCAGUUGCCAGUAGCUGUGCCUUGGGAUCUGGUUUCGGUUCCGGUGCUGGAGCUGCCAGCGUACAGGCAACGAGAGCGAGGAUCACAGCGAUCUGCAAAGCACAUUGAAUCAAAUCAAACCAGUGAAAACUUAUUCGUUUCAUUUACAGGCGAAAUCUGUUCUUCUAAUGGCAUCAUCCCCACGUGGUGUUGAUGAGUUUUUGUACGGAAAAAAUCACUCAAAACAUUUUUUUAUCGACAAAAUUGAAAUUGCAGUUGAAUUCGGAAUAAGUCCAAGAUGCACACGAUCGGGAUAAACUGCAAGUCGCAUUGCUUACCACAAAUUUAAUGGCCAUUUUUUUAGGUUAAUAUAAUGCACCCAAGAGUCACUGCAAUCACA